GAAAAGAAACUAACAAGGAUUCCCCUAGUAGCGGCGAGCGAAGCGGGAAAAGCCCGGGAUGAAAAUCUCUUUGGAGAAUUGUAGUCUGAGCUCCCUUGGGCGGUCAGUGUGGGUAAAUCGUCUGGGAUGACGUGCCAUGGAGGGUGAGAGCCCCGUCCACCCCACACAGGACCCGCCCGCACGAGGGCGCUUCAACCGAGUCGGGUAGCUUGGGAAUGCUGCUCCAAUUGGUGGUAAAUCUCAUCAAAGGCUAAAUAACGGUGGGAGACCGAUAGCGAACAAGUACCGUGAGGGAAAGAUGGAAAGAACUUUGAAAAGAGAGUGAAAAGCGCUUGAAACCGUCACGGGGGAAGCGGAUUGCGUGAGUGAUGGCGUGCACUGUUCAGCUCAAAAUGUGGAGUGUAUUCUGUGCGCGCCGGGCGUGUGUGGCUGGGGUGCGUGCGAAUUUGGCACGCGUUCCUGGUGAGGGCUCCCUGCUUGUCAGGUGAGGACACACGCGAAAUGACGCAAUACGACCCGUCUUGAAACACGGACCAAGGAGUCUAGCACGGCUGCGAGUCGAAGGGUGUUAAAACCCAGAGGGCGCAGUGAAAGCGAAAGAAAGCAAAUUGGGGAGGCGUUGCGGUUUUACCAAAAUGUCCUACCUCGAGCACCUGUGCUGGGACCCGAAAGAUGGUGAACUAUGCCGGAGUAGGGCAAAGCCAGAGGAAACUCUGGUGGAGGCUCGUAGCGAUGCUGACGUGCAAAUCGCUCGUCGAACUUGGGUAUAGGGGCGAAAGACUAAUCGAACCAUCUAGUAGCUGGUUCCCUCCGAAGUUUCUCUCAGGAUAGCGGGCCGACGACAUGUUGUUUUGUGCGGUAAAGCGAAUGAUUAGUGCAUUUGGGGGCCGAAGGCCUUCAGGCGAUUCUCAAACUUUAAAUGCGCAAGGGGGCGGCUGCUUAAUUGAGCCUGCUCUUUGAAAAACGUCGGCCCUGUGGGCCACUUUUGGUAAGCAGAACUGGCGAUAAGGGAUGAACCUUAAGCGCGGUUAAGGCGCCGCAUUGCCCGCUUAUAGACCCCACAAAAGGUGUUGAUUCAUCCAGACAGCAGGACGGUGGCCAUGGAAGUCGGAAUCCGCUAAGGAGUGUGUAACAACUCACCUGCCGAAUGAAUUAGCCCUGAAAAUGGAUGGCGCUGAAGCGGGCAGCCGACACCGCGCCGUUCGGGCGAGACGAUGCCCGGAUGAGUAGGAGGGCGUGGCGGUCAGUGACGCAGGCGUGGGUGCAGACCCCGCUGAAACGGCCGCUAGUGCAGAUCUUGGUGGUAGUAGCAAAUAUUCAAGCGAGAUCCUUGAAGGGCGAAGCGGGGAAGGGUUCCACGCGAACAUUGAUUGGGCGUGGGUGAGUC
This 1387-nucleotide ribosomal RNA is filed under the name Nothocladus pseudogelatinosus. RNAcentral describes it as "eukaryotic LSU rRNA". It matches the Rfam family "Eukaryotic large subunit ribosomal RNA", at positions 56 to 1540 of the family's 3401-position model. Lineage: Eukaryota; Rhodophyta; Florideophyceae; Batrachospermales; Batrachospermaceae. The record is from RNAcentral.